This 654-nucleotide ribosomal RNA is filed under the name uncultured Veillonella sp. RNAcentral describes it as "bacterial SSU rRNA". It matches the Rfam family "Bacterial small subunit ribosomal RNA", at positions 28 to 652 of the family's 1533-position model. Lineage: Bacteria; Bacillati; Bacillota; Negativicutes; Veillonellales; Veillonellaceae. The record is from RNAcentral.
GACGAACGCUGGCGGCGUGCUUAACACAUGCAAGUCGAACGAAGAGCGAUGGAAGCUUGCUUCUAUCAAUCUUAGUGGCGAACGGGUGAGUAACGCGUAAUCAACCUGCCCUUCAGAGGGGGACAACAGUUGGAAACGACUGCUAAUACCGCAUACGAUCUAAUCUCGGCAUCGAGGAAAGAUGAAAGGUGGCCUCUAUGUAUAAACUAUCACUGAAGGAGGGGAUUGCGUCUGAUUAGCUAGUUGGAGGGGUAACGGCCCACCAAGGCGAUGAUCAGUAGCCGGUCUGAGAGGAUGAACGGCCACAUUGGGACUGAGACACGGCCCAGACUCCUACGGGAGGCAGCAGUGGGGAAUCUUCCGCAAUGGACGAAAGUCUGACGGAGCAACGCCGCGUGAGUGAUGACGGCCUUCGGGUUGUAAAGCUCUGUUAAUCGGGACGAAAGGCCUUCUUGCGAAUAGUGAGAAGGAUUGACGGUACCGGAAUAGAAAGCCACGGCUAACUACGUGCCAGCAGCCGCGGUAAUACGUAGGUGGCAAGCGUUGUCCGGAAUUAUUGGGCGUAAAGCGCGCGCAGGCGGAUAGGUCAGUCUGUCUUAAAAGUUCGGGGCUUAACCCCGUGAUGGGAUGGAAACUGCCAAUCUAGAGUAUCGG